CUGAAACAGACGGUUGAAUUACUUAUGCUUCAUAUUUCAUAGGGUGCUAUAACUAUUGAUCCCUGCAAUGUUUUGUUAAUUAAUUAAUUCAUCUUUAUUUAUGUUUGCUGGCAUAUAAUUUUCUUUCCAUAUGACACCUAAGAUCAAGGUUAUAAUAAUUUCAUAAAAUUGGGUUCCUUUGCUUCUGUUAAGCUGUGUAUAUAAGAUAAGGAAUAUUUAUUUCAUUAAAUUAUAAAAGAAAUCUCUGCAAAAUAUAUAGAAGUUGGUAACUGUUUUUAUACUUUGGUUAGUUUUGUUACUUUAUAUAUUUCUGUGUGUUUACAUAAUUAUAUGGAAAUAUUAACUUAUAUUUUAAAAUCAUAAAUUAAAAAGUAUAGAAAUUAUAUUUUUUAUAUUAUGUGCAGUUGUAUGAGAAGCUCCUUACUACUUACUCAUGGGAGAGUUUGCUAUUUUGUUCUAUUCAAGCAUUCAAUUUAGGUAAGAGCUACCACAAUAAAGAUGUUGAUCUUAUACCCAGCUACUUUACAGUUAACAUUUUUUUCUUUUUUAUUAUUUUAAUUGACAGAUAAAAUUGUAUUUCUUUCUUUCUUUCUUUC
This 596-nucleotide long non-coding RNA is filed under the name Marmota monax (woodchuck). Lineage: Eukaryota; Metazoa; Chordata; Mammalia; Rodentia; Sciuridae. The record is from RNAcentral.